Seriola aureovittata is the source of this 624-nucleotide long non-coding RNA. RefSeq lists it as uncharacterized. The transcript has 3 exons. Lineage: Eukaryota; Metazoa; Chordata; Actinopteri; Carangiformes; Carangidae. The record is from RefSeq and is a predicted model, not a curated record.
CCUGUUUUCACCCGAGAAGAGAGAGUAAGGAGUUCACUAUAAGUCAUGGUGGGAACUUUGUCAUUCAAUCAGCUGUGAUACACAGUGAAGUGGCAGUAUAGGUAUUGAUUAGUUAGAAAAAUGGAGUAAAACAUUGGAAGGUGAUUCAUUUCUCAGCUGUUGCCAUAGAAAUAUCCUUUUACCUGCAACAUUCAGCCCUGCAUACAACAUCAUGAAGCCGUCAACCCCCAUCAGGUCUCAGCUGUGGACAGAUUUACCGCAGCAGUGACACAUUCUAGCAGCAGAGCAGGAUGUGUUGAAAUCUACCGGGGUGCCGGUGUUGUUGCGUCCCUUCCAAUGUCGAGACCAAACCUACGCUCCUGCUGGGAGGUAAAGGGACCAUUGUGGAAAAGAGGAAUUUUUACUUGCUGUGAGCCCAUUUUGAAAUUUCUCAGUUACAUCAUUCUGAAAAACAUCUUAACCCUCCACCUCCACCUCCAUCUCCAGCUCUCCAAUUCUCCUACCUUCUCAACUUGUCUGCUCGGGGGACCGAUUUAGCCCUGACAGGGUCACCUGAUCUCUGUGUCCACCAACCACAGAGCUCAGUGGCUGAACACAGCGUCAUACAAGCAUGUCAGGCUUGCA